GCAAGUCGAACGGUCAAAAUGAAGGUGCUUGCACCUGAAAGACGAGUGGCGAACGGGUGCGUAAUACGUAGGAACCUGCCCUGAAGUGGGGGACAACCACGGGAAACUGUGGCUAAUACCCCAUAGUACCGAAAGGUUAAAGGAUGAUUUCAUUCGCUUCGGGAUGGGCCUAUGGGCUAUCAGCUUGUUGGUGGGGUAAUGGCUCACCAAGGCAGCGACGGCUAUCCGGCCUGAGAGGGCGAUCGGACACACUGGCACUGAGACACGGGCCAGACUCUUACGGGAGGCAGCAGUUAAGAAUCUUGCGCAAUGGGCGAAAGCCUGACGCAGCCACGCCGCGUGAGCGAUGAAGGCCUUAGGGUUGUAAAGCUCGUUUAGAUGGGAAGAAUAAGUAUGGUCCAAUAGGCCAUGCGAUGACCUACCAUCCGCAAGCCCCGGCUAAUUACGUGCCAGCAGCCGCGGUAAUACGUAUGGGGCAAGCGUUGUUCGGAUUUAUUGGGCGUAAAGGGCACGCAGGCGGAUUGCUAAGUUGGAUGUAUAAUCGUCAGGCUCAACCUGAUUUCUGCAUCCAAAACUGGCGGUCUAGAGUCUCGGAGGGGAAAGCGGAAUUCUUGGUGUAGCGGUGGAAUGCGUAGAUAUCAAGAGGAACACCGAUGGCGAAGGCGGCUUUCUGGACGAAGACUGACGCUCAGGUGCGAAAGCGUGGGGAGCAAACAGGAUUAGAUACCCUGGUAGUCCACGCCCUAAACGUUGUACACUAGGUGUCGGGGGUUUCAACGCCUUCGGUGCCGCAGCUAACGCAUUAAGUGUACCGCCUGGGGAGUACGCCCGCAAGGGUGAAACUCAAAGGAAUUGACGGGGGCCCGCACAAGCGGUGAGC
This 880-nucleotide ribosomal RNA is filed under the name uncultured bacterium. Its description in RNAcentral is "bacterial SSU rRNA". It matches the Rfam family "Bacterial small subunit ribosomal RNA", at positions 57 to 937 of the family's 1533-position model. The record is from RNAcentral.